This 555-nucleotide ribosomal RNA is filed under the name uncultured bacterium. RNAcentral's name for it is "partial 16S ribosomal RNA". It matches the Rfam family "Bacterial small subunit ribosomal RNA", at positions 355 to 900 of the family's 1533-position model. The record is from RNAcentral.
UAGGGAAUCUUCCACAAUGGACGCAAGUCUGAUGGAGCAACGCCGCGUGAGUGAAGAAGGUUUUCGGAUCGUAAAGCUCUGUUGUUGGUGAAGAAGGAUAGAGGCAGUAACUGGCCUUUAUUUGACGGUAAUCAACCAGAAAGUCACGGCUAACUACGUGCCAGCAGCCGCGGUAAUACGUAGGUGGCAAGCGUUGUCCGGAUUUAUUGGGCGUAAAGCGAGCGCAGGCGGAAGAAUAAGUCUGAUGUGAAAGCCCUCGGCUUAACCGAGGAAUUGCAUCGGAAACUGUUUUUCUUGAGUGCAGAAGAGGAGAGUAGAACUCCAUGUGUAGCGGUGGAAUGCGUAGAUAUAUGGAAGAAUACCAGUGGCGAAGGCGGCUCUCUGGUCUGCAACUGACGCUGAGGCUCGAAAGCAUGGGUAGCGAACAGGAUUAGAUACCCUGGUAGUCCAUGCCGUAAACGAUGAGUGCUAAGUGUUGGGAGGCUUCCGCCUCUCAGUGCUGCAGCUAACGCAUUAAGCACUCCGCCUGGGGGAGUACGACCGCAAGGUUGAAAC